AGGGUAUCCGUUGCAUCAUUCGCAUGGAUGAUUAGUUUUUUCAACCUUAAGAUUUUACCCUGCAUCUUGCUACUUCUGUUGUAAUGGAUUUUACCCUCUGUAAUAUUUACUAAAAAGAAAUAAAUGUCACCUAUGACAAUGGUCGUUAUCUUAAUAAAUUCAAUUCAAUUCAAUUCAUACCAGAUCUGUAUCAGUAUGAUAGUGUUGUUCUUCCUGGUUUUUCCCAUCAAUCCACAAAAGUAACACAAAUACACAAUGUUCCUGUUGCUUCUACUGCUACUUAGUGCAGAAAUCUCCAAUGGACAGCUGCAAGUAGGCUUUUA
This 323-nucleotide long non-coding RNA is filed under the name Zostera marina. Its description in RNAcentral is "long non-coding RNA (ZMAR_LNC000358)". The record is from RNAcentral. Lineage: Eukaryota; Viridiplantae; Streptophyta; Magnoliopsida; Alismatales; Zosteraceae.